RNAcentral lists this ribosomal RNA (273 nucleotides) under uncultured bacterium. Its description in RNAcentral is "partial 16S ribosomal RNA". It matches the Rfam family "Bacterial small subunit ribosomal RNA", at positions 524 to 796 of the family's 1533-position model. The record is from RNAcentral.
GACAGAGGUGCCGAGCGUUAGGCGGAAUCACUGGGCUUAAAGCGUGUGUAGGCGGGUCGUUAAGUACCUUGUGAAAUCCCACGGCUCAACCGUGGAACUGCUUGGUAUACUGGCGAUCUUGAGCCACCUAGGGGCAACUGGAACAAACGGUGGAGCGGUGAAAUGCGUAGAUAUCGUUUGGAACGCCAAUGGUGAAAACAGGUUGCUGGGGGUGUGCUGACGCUGAGACACGAAAGCCAGGGGAGCGAACGGGAUUAGAAACCCCCGUAGUCC